This 26-nucleotide non-coding RNA is filed under the name Mus musculus (house mouse). Lineage: Eukaryota; Metazoa; Chordata; Mammalia; Rodentia; Muridae. The record is from RNAcentral.
AGGGAUGACUUGAGGCUGUCCAGCGG